Molecule: ribosomal RNA, 494 nt
Filed under: uncultured bacterium
Lineage: Bacteria
Description: partial 16S ribosomal RNA
Rfam family: Bacterial small subunit ribosomal RNA
Source: RNAcentral
GACGAACGCUGGCGGCGUGCCUAAUACAUGCAAGUAGAACGCUGAAGGAGGAGCUUGCUCUUCUGGAUGAGUUGCGAACGGGUGAGUAACGCGUAGGUAACCUGCCUGGUAGCGGGGAUAACUAUUGGAAACGAUAGCUAAUACCGCAUAAGAGUAGAUGUUGCAUGACAUUUGCUUAAAAGGUGCAAUUGCAUCACUACCAGAUGGACCUGCGUUGUAUUAGCUAGUUGGUGGGGUAACGGCUCACCAAGGCGACGAUACAUAGCCGACCUGAGAGGGUGAUCGGCCACACUGGGACUGAGACACGGCCCAGACUCCUACGGGAGGCAGCAGUAGGGAAUCUUCGGCAAUGGACGGAAGUCUGACCGAGCAACGCCGCGUGAGUGAAGAAGGUUUUCGGAUCGUAAAGCUCGGUUGUAAGAGAAGAACGAGUGUGAGAGUGGAAAGUUCACACUGUGACGGUAUCUUACCAGAAAGGGGCGGCUAACUACGUG